This is a long non-coding RNA of Pan troglodytes (chimpanzee), 479 nucleotides long. RefSeq lists it as uncharacterized. The record is from RefSeq and is a predicted model, not a curated record. The transcript has 3 exons. NCBI's taxonomy places the organism in Eukaryota, Metazoa, Chordata, Mammalia, Primates, Hominidae.
GAAUUUCUCCUUACUUUUAAUAUAACUAGGCAUUGUGUGAUCAAAGCAAAAUAAAUAUGUUCUUGUUUCUGGAAUUACUAAAGCUUUGAAAAUGGACUUAUCGACCUCAAACCAAUGGGACAUAUUCCUAUGUGGCCUUCUCCCGUGUUAGGGUUCCCAGGGUAUGUCUUUAAUGUCUGGUUUAAUAGAAGAAAACUUGGUUCUCCUUUCUGCUUCUAUGUUUAAUUUCUUGUGACAUCCCACGUCAGGUAGCCUCUGGGAAACUCCAAUUAUACUUGUGAGAGAAUUAAAGUGGAAAAGCUGGGCAGAUGUGCCUGAGACAGGUUUGACCAGGCAACUGAAAAGAUAUCCCUAAGAGAAGACAAAGCAAAGGUAUGAAAGGAACACACGUCCCUGACUGACUAGGAGGAACAGAGCUGCCUGCUGUCUGGAACCGCUUCCUCCCAGACUAAGUGAGAAAUAAACUUCUGUUUUCUAUA